AUUUUUAGGGUUCCGUACUUCAAAAGAAAAAAACGGAACCCUUAUAACAUCACUUUGUUGUCCGUCCGUCCGUCCGUCUGUCAAGAGCGUUUUUCUCAGGAACGCGUGGAGGUAUCAAACUGAAAUUUGUAUAUGAUACUCAGGUCUACUGUCCCUGGAAGCUGUAGAAAAAUCAACCUUCUAAGCCAACGCAAUCAAAAGAUACAGCCAUUUAGGCCGCAAAUUUCCGCAAAUUUUCGAAACUCGCACGGGAAUCAAAACCUACAGGGUACUUCCCGUGAACUUAGAAUCUUGAAAUUUCGUACGAAGUCACGUCAUAUAGUACAGAUAUAGGAAAAAUUACGAAAACCGUAAAUUUUUAGUUUCAUCAUAUAAAAAAAAAAAUAUUUUUGAAAAAUAUUUUUGACAAUUUUGAAAAUUUCAAAUUACUACUCCUUAUCUCAUGAACGCGUUGAGGUAUUAAAUUAAAAUUCAUAUUAAAUACUUAAGUCUAUAAUACCUUUAAACUGUAACAAAAUCAAACUUUUAUGUCAACGCAAUCGAAAGAAAUAAUAACAAUUUAAGCCGCAUAUCGUCCGUCCGUCUGUCAAAUUUUCGAAACUCGCACGGGAAUCAAAACCUACAGGGUACUUCCUGUGAACUUAGAAUCUUGAAGUUUCGUACGAAGUCACGUCUUAUAGUACAGAUAUAGGAAAAAUUACGAAAACCGUAAAUUUUUAGUUUCAUCAUAUAAAAAAAAAAUAUUUUUGAAAAAUAUUUUUGACAAUUUUGAAAAUUUCAAAGUUACUACUCCUUAUCUCAUGAACGCGAUGAGGUAUUAAAUUAAAAUUCAUACUAAAUACUUAAGUCUAUAAUACCUUUAAACUGUAACAAAAUCAAACUUUUAUGUCAACGCAAUCGAAAGAAAUAAUAACAAUUUAAGCCGCAUAUUUUCAAACUCGCGACUACUUGCGAGGGAAUUAAAACCUUCUCUGUAAACGAUAUUUGAUGUUUAUUGAAAAAAUACAGCCGUGAAAUUUCAUUUUGCAAUA
Long non-coding RNA from Aphis gossypii (cotton aphid), 1031 nucleotides. RefSeq lists it as uncharacterized. The transcript is spliced from 2 exons. The record is from RefSeq and is a predicted model, not a curated record. NCBI's taxonomy places the organism in Eukaryota, Metazoa, Arthropoda, Insecta, Hemiptera, Aphididae.